RNAcentral lists this unclassified non-coding RNA (1765 nucleotides) under Hevea brasiliensis (rubber tree). The record is from RNAcentral. Lineage: Eukaryota; Viridiplantae; Streptophyta; Magnoliopsida; Malpighiales; Euphorbiaceae.
CAAAAAAAAAAAAAAAACAAAAAGAGUAACAGUAUGAGGGACUUGAUUACACUACCUGUUCAGAAGAGGCAAACUUCCUCUUUUGUAGGAGAGUUUAGAAUACUGGACGGGGAUUGUAUCUUCCUCCUCUUCUUUAUAAGGAAGAUUGAUUUUACUUGCGUUGUAGAAUGGAUAGGAAUACGCGUGGCAUGCAUUCACUUGUGCUGUUGUGCAUCAGGUAACAAGUAGUUGUCAACUUUUAACUUCUUUUUCGGCAUAGGGGAGGGGGUGUCCCCUUGUUGAGGAAAAUUUGUUCGUUUGAGAAUGGGGAGCUAUACCUCCUCUUAGUGGUAGCUUCUGAAUGGAUGUUUAAUGAAAUGAUACUAACAGAUGGUGGUGUUGCUGUUAUUAGAAAGUACCCUAUUGUCGUCUUCCUACUUGGUUCACUUUUCCAUGACUGUGAGACCCCCCUCCAUCCCUAUUAAAAACACAUGGAAAUUGAAAAUUCCCUUAAUUUUCCUCCUUAAUGAACUAGCGCAGCUCGAGGUUCUGCGCUGUUGGAUGAAGUUUAAUCCUGGUUGGCGGCAAAUUAAGGAUUAGGUUGCAGUAUUGAUGAGCGUGGUAAAAUUAGGUGAGAACGAAGAAGCGAGAAGCUGUGGUCCGUUGGCUCAGCAGUUUUAUUACUCCAUAAUUAGCCAUUAUGGAUCUGAGACAAAUACCGAGAAUUGAAAUCGAUAUUUAGAUUGAACGAUGUGGCAGGAAACUGUUAAUAGUACUCUUAAAAAGGAUGGAAUUAUGUCAAUGGGACUGUAUAUACUAGUAUGAAAUAAAUAAAAGGACGUGUCAUAGAGAGAGACAACAAAGGAAGCACACAACAAACGCAUUAGCGAAAUGCAUCCCAACUUUCUUUUACCGUCUCCACCAAUUUCUUUGUAUGUGUUAACGCAUGUAAGAGUAUCGACUCAGAUUGAUAUUCAUAUCAGUGAUGGUGACGGGCAUUUGCAACCCAAUGCUUUCCACUUGCAAGAUUUCGAUUUCCACUUGCAACAUGCUUGACCUCUCCUCGGUGACACCUGUUUUGUAGAGUUUCUGGGGCUAGUUGAGGUUACUUUUGGAGGGGUAUGUCAUCAGAUUGAUAUUUCCUUUUUCCUAAUUUUGUCUCUUUGUAAGCGAUGAUGCUAAAACCAUCGUUUUUGUCAUCAUUUUAUUUUUCAAAUUUCUGUUUUUUUAAUAUUCCCAGCUUUCCUGUUUUCUGUAUAGGAGGAAAAGUGUUCCUGGUUUCUGUAUAGGAGGAAAAGUGUAGAAUGAUUAUUAAUGCAUUAAUUCCACUAGUGUAAUUGUUCAUGUUAAUUAAUGGGCUCGUGUACUAGUACAAAUCCUAUCAAUGAUACAACAAAUAGUCAAAACUCUCACGUGGAAUAGAACACCUCCUGCGGCUAAUGGUUUCUGACCUUGCUGUGGGUCUCAUAAUCACAAAACAGAAAAUUAGCGCAUUUUAGUGAUGGUUGAUCAAGCAGGGAUAUGAUUAAAUACAGCCGAUACAUAUAUACACAUCUUGAAACAUCCACUCAAUUUACUCCGGUGAAGAUAUAUACUGUCACAACCAUAAACAUAGAGGCCAAGGAUGGUUAUAUUUGUUUAGUUUGUGGUAUGAGGCGAAGCUGCCUGCAAUGCACAUAAAUAAGAAGGCUGUAGCUCUUGCUGCUCUUGUUGUUUUAGUAGUUGUUGCUGCUGUUCUCCUUCCCAUGUCCAAAUAAUGUCUUUGAGUGCAGGUCUAAUCUCUUGU